Molecule: long non-coding RNA, 570 nt
Organism: Mytilus californianus (California mussel)
Lineage: Eukaryota; Metazoa; Mollusca; Bivalvia; Mytilida; Mytilidae
Exons: 3
Source: RefSeq, a predicted model, not a curated record
UUAUAAUCAGCACCAGAACAUGUGACAAUCCCCCACCGUCCGACGAUGGACUGAAAUGUGUUGGUUCCGAAACUGAAACAUCACUUUGCAACUUAGGAAAAUGUCCAGCAUCAUGCCAUCGUUCAAAGAAAAGACCAAUUGGACAAUAAAUCAGGAAAAACAGCAUAAAUUGAAAGCCAUGAACCAAAUACGAAUUGACAAAUUUGAUUGGAAAAACUGGAAACAAAGUGGAUCAAUUUCAUUCUUAUAUAAAAUGGAGGGACAAUUCUAAAUGGUUUAAAUUUUAUAAUCAUCAUUGUGGGAAAAUUCAUUAUAUGCUUUCGUAUGAAAUUCUUACUUUCGAUAUCUGAGAUACAAUCUGUGUUGUUUACUUUCUCGCAAGUGCGAACUUCCUAACUAUUACUUGUAUGUUUUGAAUUCAGUCAUUAGGUUAGAUAAGUUUUAACUUGACCUUUCAUAGCAUUGCACCUGUAAUGUAUAUGACAUUAAAUAUGUAAAGUGUGAGAAUAGACGUUUUUGUUUCUUAACGUUUGAUGAUAUUUUGUGGGAUAUACAUUAGUUACAUUUUAC